GACAGAGGGUGCAAACGUUGUUCGGAAUUACUGGGCGUAAAGCGUGCGCAGGCGGCGCGUUAAGACAGGUGUGAAAGCCCCGAGCUUAACUUGGGAAUUGCGCUUGUGACUGGCGUGCUGGAGUGUGGCAGAGGGAGGUGGAAUUCCACGUGUAGCAGUGAAAUGCGUAGAGAUGUGGAGGAACAUCGAUGGCGAAGGCAGCCGCCUGGGCCAGCACUGACGCUCAUGCACGAAAGCGUGGGGAGCAAACAGG
Molecule: ribosomal RNA, 253 nt
Filed under: uncultured bacterium
Lineage: Bacteria
Description: partial 16S ribosomal RNA
Rfam family: Bacterial small subunit ribosomal RNA
Source: RNAcentral